Molecule: small nuclear RNA, 18 nt
Filed under: Arabidopsis thaliana (thale cress)
Lineage: Eukaryota; Viridiplantae; Streptophyta; Magnoliopsida; Brassicales; Brassicaceae
Description: snRNA_07005
Source: RNAcentral
GCUUGAAAAUCGGACGUC